Molecule: ribosomal RNA, 471 nt
Filed under: uncultured bacterium
Lineage: Bacteria
Description: bacterial SSU rRNA
Rfam family: Bacterial small subunit ribosomal RNA
Source: RNAcentral
ACUCCUACGGGAGGCAGCAGUGGGGAAUAUUGCACAAUGGGGGAAACCCUGAUGCAGCCAUGCCGCGUGUGUGAAGAAGGCCUUCGGGUUGUAAAGCACUUUCAGUAGGGAGGAAGGUAGUGUAGUUAACACCUGCAUUAUUUGACGUUACCUACAGAAGAAGCACCGGCUAACUCCGUGCCAGCAGCCGCGGUAAUACGGAGGGUGCGAGCGUUAAUCGGAAUUACUGGGCGUAAAGCGCAUGCAGGCGGCCUGUUAAGUCAGAUGUGAAAGCCCGGGGCUUAACCUCGGAAUUGCAUUUGAAACUGGCAGGCUAGAGUCUUGUAGAGGGGGGUAGAAUUUCAGGUGUAGCGGUGAAAUGCGUAGAGAUCUGAAGGAAUACCAGUGGCGAAGGCGGCCCCCUGGACAAAGACUGACGCUCAGAUGCGAAAGGCUGGGGGAGCAAACAGGAUUAGAUACCCUGGUAGCACA